AUUGAACGCUGGCGGCAGGCCUAACACAUGCAAGUCGAACGAGUGGCGGACGGGUGAGUAAUGUCUGGGAAACUGCCUGAUGGAGGGGGAUAACUACUGGAAACGGUAGCGAAUACCGCAUACCAUCAGAUGUGCCCAGAUGGGAUUAGCUAGUAGGUGAGGUAACGGCUCACCUAGGCGACGAUCCCUAGCUGGUCUGAGAGGAUGACCAGCCCCACUUGACCUGAGACACGGUCGAGACUCCUACGGGAGGCAGCAGUGGGGAAUAUUGCACAAUGGGCGCAAGCCUGAUGCAGCCAUGCCGCGUGUAUGAAGAAGGCCUUCGGGUUGUAAAGUACUUUCAGCGGGGAGGCGUUACCCGCAGAGGAAGCACCGGCUAACUCCGUGCCAGCAGCCGCGGUAAUAC
This 406-nucleotide ribosomal RNA is filed under the name uncultured bacterium. Its description in RNAcentral is "partial 16S ribosomal RNA". It matches the Rfam family "Bacterial small subunit ribosomal RNA", at positions 30 to 526 of the family's 1533-position model. The record is from RNAcentral.